RNAcentral lists this ribosomal RNA (869 nucleotides) under uncultured beta proteobacterium. RNAcentral describes it as "bacterial SSU rRNA". It matches the Rfam family "Bacterial small subunit ribosomal RNA", at positions 56 to 918 of the family's 1533-position model. The record is from RNAcentral. Lineage: Bacteria; Pseudomonadati; Pseudomonadota; Betaproteobacteria.
UGCAGUCGAACGGCAGCACGAGAGCUUGCUCUUGGUGGCGAGUGGCCAACGGGUGAGUAAUAUAUCGGAACGUAUCCAAUAAUGGGGGAUAACUAAUCGAAAGGUUAGCUAAUACCGCAUACGCCCUACGGGGGAAAGCAGGGGAUCUUCGGACCUUGCGUUAAUGGAGCGGCUGAUAUCUGAUUAGCUAGUAGGUGAGGUAAAGGCUCACCUAGGCUUCGAUCAGUAGCUGGUCUGAGAGGACGACCAGCCACACUGGAACUGAGACACGGUCCAGACUCCUACGGGAGGCAGCAGUGGGGAAUUUUGGACAAUGGGCGCAAGCCUGAUCCAGCCAUUCCGCGUGAGUGAAGAAGGCCUUCGGGUUGUAAAGCUCUUUCGCAAGGGAAGAAACGAUACCGACGAAUAAUCGGUGUUAAUGACGGUACCUUGAUAAGAAGCACCGGCUAACUACGUGCCAGCAGCCGCGGUAAUACGUAGGGUGCGAGCGUUAAUCGGAAUUACUGGGCGUAAAGCGUGCGCAGGCGGUUUUGUAAGUCAGAUGUGAAAUCCCCGGGCUCAACCUGGGAACUGCGUUUGAAACUACAAGGCUAGAGUAUGGUAGAGGGGGGUAGAAUUCCACGUGUAGCAGUGAAAUGCGUAGAGAUGUGGAGGAAUACCAAUGGCGAAGGCAGCCCCCUGGACUAAUACUGACGCUCAUGCACGAAAGCGUGGGGAGCAAACAGGAUUAGAUACCCUGGUAGUCCACGCCCUAAACGAUGUCUACUAGUUGUUGGGAGAGUAAAAUCUCUUAGUAACGCAGCUAACGCGUGAAGUAGACCGCCUGGGGAGUACGGUCGCAAGAUUAAAACUCAAAGGAAUUGACGGGG